This 292-nucleotide unclassified non-coding RNA is filed under the name uncultured bacterium. RNAcentral's name for it is "partial contains 16S ribosomal RNA, 16S-23S ribosomal RNA intergenic spacer, and 23S ribosomal RNA". The stretch from base 1 to 168 matches the Rfam family "Bacterial small subunit ribosomal RNA", at positions 1368 to 1533 of the family's 1533-position model. The record is from RNAcentral.
CCUUUAUUGGGCCUUGUACACACCGCCCGUCACAUCACGAAACUCUGUUGCACUAGAAGUCGGUGGGCUAACCCGCAAGGGAGGCAGCCGCCUAAAGUGUGAUCGGUAAUUGGGGUGAAGUCGUAACAAGGUAGCUGUAGGAGAACCUGCGGCUGGAUCACCUCCUUUCUAAGGAGCUUCUUUUCGCCACGGAUCAAAACGUGGUUGCGAAAUUAGUUCCCAGGUCGAGAGGAAUCACGCUCUUCAAUGAGCGAGCGUUUCGCCCUCUUGUCUUUCCUGUUCAGUUUUCAGG